GCCUGAUUGGCUCUGUUGGUAGAGCAUGCAAUUCUUGAUUUUAGGGUUUUGGAUUCAAACCCCACAUUAGGUG
RNAcentral lists this transfer RNA (73 nucleotides) under Felis catus (domestic cat). It matches the Rfam family "tRNA". Rfam says of the family: Transfer RNA (tRNA) molecules are approximately 80 nucleotides in length. Their secondary structure includes four short double-helical elements and three loops (D, anti-codon, and T loops). Further hydrogen bonds mediate the characteristic L-shaped molecular structure. tRNAs have two regions of fundamental functional importance: the anti-codon, which is responsible for specific mRNA codon recognition, and the 3' end, to which the tRNAs corresponding amino acid is attached (by aminoacyl-tRNA synthetases). tRNAs cope with the degeneracy of the genetic code in two manners: having more than one tRNA (with a specific anti-codon) for a particular amino acid; and 'wobble' base-pairing, i.e. permitting non-standard base-pairing at the 3rd anti-codon position. Lineage: Eukaryota; Metazoa; Chordata; Mammalia; Carnivora; Felidae. The record is from Rfam by way of RNAcentral.